This 466-nucleotide ribosomal RNA is filed under the name uncultured bacterium. RNAcentral's name for it is "partial 16S ribosomal RNA". It matches the Rfam family "Bacterial small subunit ribosomal RNA", at positions 28 to 507 of the family's 1533-position model. The record is from RNAcentral.
GACGAACGCUGGCGGCGCGCCUAACACAUGCAAGUCGAACGAGCGAGAGAGAGCUUGCUUUCUCAAGCGAGUGGCGAACGGGUGAGUAACGCGUGAGGAACCUGCCUCAAAGAGGGGGACAACAGUUGGAAACGACUGCUAAUACCGCAUAAGCCCUCAGGUCGGCCUCGACCCGAGGGAAAAGGAGCAAUCCGCUUUGAGAUGGCCUCGCGUCCGAUUAGCUAGUUGGUGAGGUAACGGCCCACCAAGGCAACGAUCGGUAGCCGGACAGAGAGGUUGAACGGCCACAUUGGGACUGAGACACAGCCCAGACUCCUACGGGAUGCAGCAGUGGGGAAUAUUGCACAAUGGGGGAAAUCCUGAUGCAGCGACGCCGCGUGGAGGAAGAAAGUCUUCGGAUUGUAAACUCCUGUUGUUGAGGAAGAUAAUGACGGUACUCAACAAGGAAGUGACGGCUAACUACGUG